GGGUUGUGAGGUUAAGCGACUAAGCGUACACGGUGGAUGCCCUGGCAGUCAGAGGCGAUGAAGGACGUGCUAAUCUGCGAAAAGCGUCGGUAAGGUGAUAUGAACCGUUAUAGCCGGCGAUGUCCGAAUGGGGAAACCCAGUGCAAUUCGUUGCACUAUCGUUAACUGAAUACAUAGGUUAACGAGGCGAACCGGGGGAACUGAAACAUCUAAGUACCCCGAGGAAAAGAAAUCAACCGAGAUUCCCCCAGUAGCGGCGAGCGAACGGGGAGCAGCCCGGAGUCUGAAUCAGCUUGUGUGUUAGUGGAAGCGUCUGGAAAGUCGCAGGGUACAGGGUGAUACUCCCGUACACUAAAACACACAGGUUGUGAACUCGAAGAGUAGGGCGGGACACGUGGUAUCCUGUCUGAAUAUGGGGGGACCAUCCUCCAAGGCUAAAUACUCCUGACUGACCGAUAGUGAACCAGUACCGUGAGGGAAAGGCGAAAAGAACCCCGGCGAGGGGAGUGAAAAAGAACCUGAAACCGUGUACGUACAAGCAGUAGGAGCCCACUUGUUGGGUGACUGCGUACCUUUUGUAUAAUGGGUCAGCGACUUAUAUUCUGUAGCAAGGUUAACCGUAUAGGGGAGCCGCAGGGAAACCGAGUCUUAACUGGGCGUUAAGUUGCAGGGUAUAGACCCGAAACCCGGUGAUCUAGCCAUGGGCAGGUUGAAGGUUGGGUAACACUAACUGGAGGACCGAACCGACUAAUGUUGAAAAAUUAGCGGAUGACUUGUGGCUGGGGGUGAAAGGCCAAUCAAACCGGGAGAUAGCUGGUUCUCCCCGAAAGCUAUUUAGGUAGCGCCUCGUGAACUCAUCUUCGGGGGUAGAGCACUGUUUCGGCUAGGGGGUCAUCCCGACUUACCAACCCGAUGCAAACUACGAAUACCGAAGAAUGUUAUCACGGGAGACACACGGCGGGUGCUAACGUCCGUCGUGAAGAGGGAAACAACCCAGACCGCCAGCUAAGGUCCCAAAGUCAUGGUUAAGUGGGAAACGAUGUGGGAAGGCCCAGACAGCCAGGAUGUUGGCUUAGAAGCAGCCAUCAUUUAAAGAAAGCGUAAUAGCUCACUGGUCGAGUCGGCCUGCGCGGAAGAUGUAACGGGGCUAAACCAUGCACCGAAGCUGCGGCAGCGACGCUUAUGCGUUGUUGGGUAGGGGAGCGUUCUGUAAGCCGUUGAAGGUGGCCUGUGAGGGUUGCUGGAGGUAUCAGAAGUGCGAAUGCUGACAUAAGUAACGAUAAUGCGGGUGAAAAACCCGCACGCCGGAAGACCAAGGGUUCCUGUCCAACGUUAAUCGGGGCAGGGUGAGUCGACCCCUAAGGCGAGGCCGAAAGGCGUAGUCGAUGGGAAACAGGUUAAUAUUCCUGUACUCGGUGUUACUGCGAAGGGGGGACGGAGAAGGCUAUGUUGGCCGGGCGACGGUUGUCCCGGUUUAAGCAUGUAGGCGGAUGUUCCAGGUAAAUCCGGAACGUUACUAACGCUGAGGUGUGAUGACGAGGCACUACGGUGCUGAAGUGACAAAUGCCCUGCUUCCAGGAAAAGCCUCUAAGCAUCAGGUAACAUCAAAUCGUACCCCAAACCGACACAGGUGGUCAGGUAGAGAAUACCAAGGCGCUUGAGAGAACUCGGGUGAAGGAACUAGGCAAAAUGGUGCCGUAACUUCGGGAGAAGGCACGCUGAUGGUAGGUGAAGUGACUUGCUCAUGGAGCUGAAAUCAGUCGAAGAUACCAGCUGGCUGCAACUGUUUAUUAAAAACACAGCACUGUGCAAACACGAAAGUGGACGUAUACGGUGUGACGCCUGCCCGGUGCCGGAAGGUUAAUUGAUGGGGUUAUCCGUAAGGAGAAGCUCUUGAUCGAAGCCCCGGUAAACGGCGGCCGUAACUAUAACGGUCCUAAGGUAGCGAAAUUCCUUGUCGGGUAAGUUCCGACCUGCACGAAUGGCGUAAUGAUGGCCAGGCUGUCUCCACCCGAGACUCAGUGAAAUUGAACUCGCUGUGAAGAUGCAGUGUACCCGCGGCAAGACGGAAAGACCCCGUGAACCUUUACUAUAGCUUGACACUGAACACUGGUCCUUGAUGUGUAGGAUAGGUGGGAGGCUUUGAAGUGUGGACGCCAGUCUGCAUGGAGCCAUCCUUGAAAUACCACCCUUUAAUGGCUGGUGUUCUAACGUGGGCCCGUAAUCCGGGUUGCGGACAGUGUCUGGUGGGUAGUUUGACUGGGGCGGUCUCCUCCUAAAGAGUAACGGAGGAGCACGAAGGUCAGCUAAUCCUGGUCGGACAUCAGGAGGUUAGUGCAAUGGCAUAAGCUGGCUUGACUGCGAGCGUGACGGCGCGAGCAGGUGCGAAAGCAGGUCAUAGUGAUCCGGUGGUUCUGAAUGGAAGGGCCAUCGCUCAACGGAUAAAAGGUACUCCGGGGAUAACAGGCUGAUACCGCCCAAGAGUUCAUAUCGACGGCGGUGUUUGGCACCUCGAUGUCGGCUCAUCACAUCCUGGGGCUGAAGUAGGUCCCAAGGGUAUGGCUGUUCGCCAUUUAAAGUGGUACGCGAGCUGGGUUUAGAACGUCGUGAGACAGUUCGGUCCCUAUCUGCCGUGGGCGCUGGAGAAUUGAGGGGGGCUGCUCCUAGUACGAGAGGACCGGAGUGGACGCAUCACUGGUGUUCGGGUUGUCAUGCCAAUGGCAUUGCCCGGUAGCUAAAUGCGGAAGAGAUAAGUGCUGAAAGCAUCUAAGCACGAAACUUGCCCCGAGAUGAGUUCUCCCUGACUCCUUGAGAGUCCUGAAGGAACGUUGAAGACGACGACGUUGAUAGGCCGGGUGUGUAAGCGCAGCGAUGCGUUGAGCUAACCGGUACUAAUGAACCGUGAGGCUUAACCUUACAACGCCGAAG
RNAcentral lists this ribosomal RNA (2928 nucleotides) under Klebsiella michiganensis. RNAcentral describes it as "23S ribosomal RNA". It matches the Rfam family "Bacterial large subunit ribosomal RNA". The record is from RNAcentral. Lineage: Bacteria; Pseudomonadati; Pseudomonadota; Gammaproteobacteria; Enterobacterales; Enterobacteriaceae.